This 404-nucleotide ribosomal RNA is filed under the name uncultured Eubacteriales bacterium. RNAcentral's name for it is "bacterial SSU rRNA". It matches the Rfam family "Bacterial small subunit ribosomal RNA", at positions 355 to 774 of the family's 1533-position model. The record is from RNAcentral. Lineage: Bacteria; Bacillati; Bacillota; Clostridia; Eubacteriales.
UGGGGAAUAUUGCACAAUGGGCGCAAGCCUGAUGCAGCAACGCCGCGUGAACGAUGAAGGCCUUAGGGUCGUAAAGUUCUGUCCUAAGGGAAGAAAGAAAUGACGGUACCUUAGGAGGAAGCCCCGGCUAACUACGUGCCAGCAGCCGCGGUAAUACGUAGGGGGCAAGCGUUAUCCGGAAUUAUUGGGCGUAAAGAGUACGUAGGUGGCUUUGUAAGCGCAGGGUGAAAGGCAGUGGCUCAACCACUGUUAGCCCUGCGAACUGCAAGGCUUGAGUGCAGGAGAGGAAAGCGGAAUUCCUAGUGUAGCGGUGAAAUGCGUAGAUAUUAGGAGGAACACCAGUGGCGAAGGCGGCUUUCUGGACUGUAACUGACACUGAAGUACGAAAGCGUGGGGAGCAAACA